AGAGUUUUGAUCCUGGCUCAGGAUGAACGCUGGCGGCGUGCCUAAUACAUGCAAGUCGAGCGAACAGAUAAGGAGCUUGCUCCUUUGAAGUUAGCGGCGGACGGGUGAGUAACACGUGGGUAACCUACCUAUAAGACUGGAAUAACUUCGGGAAACCGGAGCUAAUGCCGGAUAACAUUUGGAACCGCAUGGUUCUAAAGUAAAAGAUGGUUUUGCUAUCACUUAUAGAUGGACCCGCGCCGUAUUAGCUAGUUGGUAAGGUAACGGCUUACCAAGGCAACGAUACGUAGCCGACCUGAGAGGGUGAUCGGCCACACUGGAACUGAGACACGGUCCAGACUCCUACGGGAGGCAGCAGUAGGGAAUCUUCCGCAAUGGACGAAAGUCUGACGGAGCAACGCCGCGUGAGUGAUGAAGGUUUUCGGAUCGUAAAACUCUGUUAUUAGGGAAGAACAAAUGUGUAAGUAACUGUGCACAUCUUGACGGUACCUAAUCAGAAAGCCACGGCUAACUNAC
Molecule: ribosomal RNA, 516 nt
Filed under: Staphylococcus equorum
Lineage: Bacteria; Bacillati; Bacillota; Bacilli; Caryophanales; Staphylococcaceae
Description: bacterial SSU rRNA
Rfam family: Bacterial small subunit ribosomal RNA
Source: RNAcentral